CUAUUUUUGAUAUCCAAUCGCAAUCGAUAUAAUUUCUUCUAAUCGAUCCAGAACAUUGGGAUGUAACGUAAGAAUUUAAAUUUUAAGCAGGAAGCACAGCAAGAAGAAUCGUCCAGAAAUUAUCAGAUUAAUUAUGAAGAAAAUGUUAGAGCAUAAAAGGGAUAUUAUAGAAUUCAAGAGGACUAGAAUUAGUGAUAAAUUUGUGAAGCGCCCCUACGGUGAAGUAUGGAAUACACUUCCUACGAUUCUCGAAUCGAUAUUUUUCACGAUCGAGUUUUAAGCGGGUAAAAUGGCGGAAGGAAGCACACCUCU
Frieseomelitta varia is the source of this 312-nucleotide long non-coding RNA. RefSeq lists it as uncharacterized. The transcript has 3 exons. NCBI's taxonomy places the organism in Eukaryota, Metazoa, Arthropoda, Insecta, Hymenoptera, Apidae. The record is from RefSeq and is a predicted model, not a curated record.